Molecule: ribosomal RNA, 382 nt
Filed under: uncultured bacterium
Lineage: Bacteria
Description: bacterial SSU rRNA
Rfam family: Bacterial small subunit ribosomal RNA
Source: RNAcentral
GACGAACGCUGGCGGCGUGCUUAACACAUGCAAGUCGAGCGGGUAAGGCCCUUCGGGUACACGAGCGGCGAACGGGUGAGUAACACGUGGGUGACCUGCCCUCAGCUCUGGGAUAAGCCUGGGAAACCGGGUCUAAUACCGGAUACGACGCAUCGGGUGCAUGCCGUUGCGUGGAAAGUUUUUUCGGCUGGGGGAUGGGCCCGCGGCCUAUCAGCUUGUUGGUGGGGUGAUGGCCUACCAAGGCGGNGACGGGUAGCCGGCCUGAGAGGGCGACCGGCCACACUGGACUGAGACACGGCCCAGACUCCUACGGGAGGCAGCAGUGGGGAAUAUUGCGCAAUGGGCGGAAGCCUGACGCAGCGACGCCGCGUGGGGAUGACGG